Molecule: long non-coding RNA, 1202 nt
Filed under: Vombatus ursinus (common wombat)
Lineage: Eukaryota; Metazoa; Chordata; Mammalia; Diprotodontia; Vombatidae
Description: lncRNA (ENSVURG00010006393.1)
Source: RNAcentral
GUAAACUGUACAUCAGGCACUACUUAGAGCACUUUUUACCUAGUCUUGCUCCCCCUUAGCCUACAAGAGCUAACAAAAGCAUUCAGACAAGUGGGCUGCCCAAAGUUACAAAACAUAUCCCAACCUCAUCUUCCUACUCGUCUUACCUUUAACAGACCUCAUCAGGAGGUGAAGCCCUAAAGAGUUGCGGACCCGAAAUGCAAACUCUCACCUUGGGCCGUAACUCGGGUUCACCACCGGUCGUGCCCGUCCCACGUAGGCCUUAGUUUUUGGCUUCGGGCCUGACACGCGGAGGGGAGCGGAGAGUGGGGUUGAGGGAGUGACAACUGCCCCGGAGGGCGGGAGGGGAUGCUAAGAGGGCAGAUGCAGGGGAAAGAGGAGCCAGACUGCCAGACUACCAGCUCUCGGCUGCGUGUCCGCCACGGCCACGUUAUCUCCCCGCCCCACACAGCCAAGGGGGCGGUGCAGAGCCGGCACGCCCCACUCCCGUACCGGGGAACGCCCGGAGUCAAAAAGGUGCUGCCCCCGGAGUCCCCAUCCCAGAAUCCCCCGGGGCGAGGGGGGGAGGCGGAAAAGGAACGAAACUGACCCGAACCAGCCGGGCCAAUCAAGGCUCCCCCCACCCCGCCUAAGGCGGGAGAGCGGCAGGUUCUCCGAUAACUGGCCACCCGCUUUCUCAAAGGUAAAGCCCCGAACGAAAAAAGAGACGGAUGCCUGCAGGGAGCGAAGUCUCAGGCGCCACAGUGCUCCUCCCCAUCAAGUCGCAAGCCUCCUCCGCCACUUUGCUCACUCACCCGCAGCUGCCGCAGCCCCCUCCGGCUAACGAUCGCAACCGCAGCCCCGCCCCUUCCCUGCAGGGCCCCGCCCCGGCCCCGCCCCCUCCCUCUUCCUUACCAACCUUCCUCAACUGGUCCAGCCUCGUGCGGCACCGAUUGGCCAAGCAUCGAAAGCGAAUACCUUAGAACCCGAGAGGGUUUCCGGGCCGGGACAAGUCUAGAAUAGAGACGGUGUUCCUCACUUACCUCCUAAUCCUUUGCUGAUUCCGCCGGCAGAGAGAACAGAAAGGGCGGGAGUGGAAAGAGAGCCUAAAUACGCCAUGAUGCCUAUGGGCGGAACCUGUCGUCUACCCGCUUCCUAUUUUGGUGGGGUGGCGUGGGACGCCCAGUAACGCCGGAGCUGACUAAGAAGGAAGAGGAGGUUGG